RNAcentral lists this ribosomal RNA (253 nucleotides) under uncultured bacterium. RNAcentral's name for it is "partial 16S ribosomal RNA". It matches the Rfam family "Bacterial small subunit ribosomal RNA", at positions 524 to 776 of the family's 1533-position model. The record is from RNAcentral.
UACGUAGGUGGCAAGCGUUGUCCGGAAUUACUGGGUGUAAAGCGCGUGUAGGCGGCAGACCAAGUCGGCGGUGAAAGCGCCCGGCUCAACUGGGCGAGGUCCGUGGAAACUGGUCAGCUGGAGGACGGUAGAGGCGAGUGGAAUUCCCGGUGUAGUGGUGAAAUGCGUAGAUAUCGUGAGGAAGACCAGUGGCGAAGGCGGAUCUCUGGAGAGUUCCUGACGCUGAGGCACGAAGGCCAGGGGAGCAAACGGG